This 228-nucleotide long non-coding RNA is filed under the name Elaeis guineensis (African oil palm). RNAcentral describes it as "long non-coding RNA (EGUI_LNC048329)". The record is from RNAcentral. Lineage: Eukaryota; Viridiplantae; Streptophyta; Magnoliopsida; Arecales; Arecaceae.
AUCUCAACCAUCAGAUCACGUCGAUAAGCAAUUGUGACCAUCCGAUCAUGCAAAUUCACAUGUGGAUCAUGCAUAGACCGCAUGUGGACCACGUGAGGCACACAGUGGACCGCACCUCACCCUCUCUCUUGCACCAUGCGGUGGUCCGUGCAUCCCAUACAUGCUGGGCCGUGCGCACCUGUAGGCCAUGCACACUACAGGCCGCAGGUGCCAGUGGGACUAGGUGCC